This 949-nucleotide ribosomal RNA is filed under the name Botrylloides niger. RNAcentral describes it as "SSU rRNA". It matches the Rfam family "Eukaryotic small subunit ribosomal RNA", at positions 87 to 1042 of the family's 1831-position model. Lineage: Eukaryota; Metazoa; Chordata; Ascidiacea; Stolidobranchia; Styelidae. The record is from RNAcentral.
CUGCGAAUGGCUCAUUAAAUCAGUCUUGGUUUAUUUGGUCUCGAGAGCGAAGGUGGAUAACUGUGGCAAUUCCAGAGCUAAUACAUGCAAUUAGCGCCGACUUCGGGAGGCGUGCUUUUAUUGGAUCAAAACCGACCGGGUUCGCCCGUCUCUUUUGAUGACUCUGGAUAACCACGCGGAUCGCGCGGUCUUGUGCCGGCGACAAACCAUUCAAGUGUCUGACCUAUCAACUUUCGAAGGUAAGCUACGGGCUUACCUUUGUGAUAACGGGUGACGGGGAAUCAGGGUUCGAUUCCGGAGAGGGAGCCUGAGAAACGGCUACCACAUCCAAGGAAGGCAGCAGGCGCGCAAAUUACCCAUUCCCGACACGGGGAGGUAGUGACGAAAAAUAACAAUACAGGACUCUAACGAGGCCCUGUAAUUGGAAUGAGUACAUUCUAAAACUCUUAACGAGUAUCCAUUGGAGGGCAAGUCUGGUGCCAGCAGCCGCGGUAAUUCCAGCUCCAAAAGUGUAUGCUAAAGUUGUUGCGGUUGAAAAGCUCGUAGUUGGAUAUUGGGCGAGCGCGGUCGGUCCGUCGCAGGGCGUGUACUGGUCGCGUUCGUCUCGAGCUUCGGUUCUCCGUCGGUGCUCUUGACUGAGUGUCGGCGGUGGCCGAGAAGUUUACUUUGAAAAAAUUAGAGUGUUCAAAGCAGGCUGGUCGCCUGAAUAGUGUUGCAUGGAAUAAUGGAAUAGGACCUCGGUUCUAUUUUGUUGGUUUUCGGAACGGAGGUAAUGAUUAAGAGGGACAGACGGGGGUGUCCGUACUCUGCCGUUAGAGGUGAAAUUCUUGGAUCGGCGGAAGACGAACUACUGCGAAAGCAUUCACCAAGAAUGUUUUCUUUAAUCAAGAGCGAAAGUCAGAGGUUCGAGACGAUCAGAUACCGUCCUAGUUCUGACUAUAAACGAUGC